Molecule: ribosomal RNA, 253 nt
Filed under: uncultured bacterium
Lineage: Bacteria
Description: partial 16S ribosomal RNA
Rfam family: Bacterial small subunit ribosomal RNA
Source: RNAcentral
UACAGAGGUCUCGAGCGUUAGGCGGAAUCACUGGGCUUAAAGCGUGUGUAGGCGGAUCGUUAAGUACCUUGUGAAAUCCCACGGCUUAACCGUGGAACUGCUUGGUAUACUGGCGGUCUUGGGCCACCUAGGGGCUACCGGAACAAACGGUGGAGCGGUGAAAUGCGUAGAUAUCGUUUGGAACGCCAAUGGUGAAAACAGGUAGCUGGGAGUGUGCCGACGCUGAGACACGAAAGCCAGGGGAGCGAACGGG